GAUGAAGAACGUAGCGAAAUGCGAUAAUUAAUGUGAAUUGCAGAAUUCAGUGAAUCAUCGAGUCUUUGAACGCACAUUGCGCCCCCUGGUAUUCCGGGGGGCAUGCCUGUCCGAGCGUCAUUGCUGCCCUCAAGCACGGCUUGUGUGUUGGGCCUCCGUCCUCCUCCCGGGGGACGGGCCCGAAAGGCAGCGGCGGCACCGCGUCCGGUCCUCGAGCGUAUGGGGCUUCGUCACCCGCUCUUGUAGGCCCGGCCGGCGCUUGCCGACACAUCAAUCUUUUUUCCAGGUUGACCUCGGAUCAGGUAGGGAUACCCGCUGAACUUAAGCAUAUCAAUAAGCGGAGGA
This 345-nucleotide unclassified non-coding RNA is filed under the name soil metagenome. RNAcentral's name for it is "partial contains 5.8S ribosomal RNA, internal transcribed spacer 2, and large subunit ribosomal RNA". The stretch from base 1 to 120 matches the Rfam family "5.8S ribosomal RNA", at positions 35 to 154 of the family's 154-position model. The record is from RNAcentral.